This 329-nucleotide ribosomal RNA is filed under the name uncultured eukaryote. RNAcentral's name for it is "partial 18S ribosomal RNA". It matches the Rfam family "Eukaryotic small subunit ribosomal RNA", at positions 1470 to 1796 of the family's 1831-position model. The record is from RNAcentral.
CCCUUAGAUGUUCUGGGCCGCACGCGCGCUACACUGAUGCAUUCAACGAGUCUAAAACCUGCUCUGAUAGGGGUGGGUAAUCUUUUGAAUGUGCAUCGUGAUUGGGAUAGAUGAUUGCAAUUUUUCAUCUUCAACGAGGAAUGCCUAGUAAACGCAAGUCAUCAGCUUGCAUUGAUUACGUCCCUGCCCUUUGUACACACCGCCCGUCGCUCCUACCGAUUGAAUGAUCCGAUGAAUAUCAUGGAUUGAGGAUGUAAGCAGGUUCGCCUGUCUUCAUCUUCGAGAAGUGAAGUAAAUCUUAUCAUCUAGAGGAAGGAGAAGUCGUAACA